UACGGGGGGAGCAAGCGUUGUUCGGAUUUACUUGGCGUAAAGGGCGCGUAGGCGGCCAGCACAAGUCAGUUGUGAAAUCUCCGGGCUUAACUCGGAAAGGUCAACUGAUACUGUGCGGCUAGAGUGCAGAAGGGGCAACUGGAAUUCUCGGUGUAGCGGUGAAAUGCGCAGAUAUCGAGAGGAACACCUGCGGCGAAGGCGGGUUGCUGGGCUGACACUGACGCUGAUGCGCGAAAGCCAGGGGAGCGAACGGG
RNAcentral lists this ribosomal RNA (254 nucleotides) under uncultured bacterium. RNAcentral describes it as "partial 16S ribosomal RNA". It matches the Rfam family "Bacterial small subunit ribosomal RNA", at positions 524 to 776 of the family's 1533-position model. The record is from RNAcentral.